UUUGGUUAAGUUAGAAAGGGCGCACGGUGGAUGCCUUGACACUAGGAGUCGAUGAAGGACGGGACUAACGCCGAUAUGCUUCGGGGAGCUGUAAGUAAGCUUUGAUCCGAAGAUUUCCGAAUGGGGAAACCCACCAUACGUAAUGGUAUGGUAUCCUUAUCUGAAUACAUAGGGUAAGGAAGACAGACCCAGGGAACUGAAACAUCUAAGUACCUGGAGGAAGAGAAAGCAAAUGCGAUUUCCUGAGUAGCGGCGAGCGAAACGGAACAUAGCCCAAACCAAGAGGCUUGCCUCUUGGGGUUGUAGGACAUUCUAUACGGAGUUACAAAGGAACGAGGUAGACGAAGCGACCUGGAAAGGUCCGUCGUAGAGGGUAACAACCCCGUAGUCGAAACUUCGUUCUCUCUUGAAUGUAUCCUGAGUACGGCGGAACACGUGAAAUUCCGUCGGAAUCUGGGAGGACCAUCUCCCAAGGCUAAAUACUCCCUAGUGAUCGAUAGUGAACCAGUACCGUGAGGGAAAGGUGAAAAGCACCCCGGAAGGGGAGUGAAAGAGAUCCUGAAACCGUGUGCCUACAAAUAGUCAGAGCCCGUUAACGGGUGAUGGCGUGCCUUUUGUAGAAUGAACCGGCGAGUUACGAUCCCGUGCGAGGUUAAGCUGAAGAGGCGGAGCCGCAGCGAAAGCGAGUCUGAAUAGGGCGUUUAGUACGUGGUCGUAGACCCGAAACCAGGUGAUCUACCCAUGUCCAGGGUGAAGUUCAGGUAACACUGAAUGGAGGCCCGAACCCACGCACGUUGAAAAGUGCGGGGAUGAGGUGUGGGUAGCGGAGAAAUUCCAAUCGAACCUGGAGAUAGCUGGUUCUCCCCGAAAUAGCUUUAGGGCUAGCCUUAAGUGUAAGAGUCUUGGAGGUAGAGCACUGAUUGGACUAGGGGUCCUCAUCGGAUUACCGAAUUCAGUCAAACUCCGAAUGCCAAUGACUUAUCCUUAGGAGUCAGACUGCGAGUGAUAAGAUCCGUAGUCAAAAGGGAAACAGCCCAGACCGCCAGCUAAGGUCCCAAAGUGUGUAUUAAGUGGAAAAGGAUGUGGAGUUGCUUAGACAACUAGGAUGUUGGCUUAGAAGCAGCCACCAUUUAAAGAGUGCGUAAUAGCUCACUAGUCGAGUGACUCUGCGCCGAAAAUGUACCGGGGCUAAAUACACCACCGAAGCUGCGGAUUGAUACCAAUGGUAUCAGUGGUAGGGGAGCGUUCUAAGGACAGUGAAGUCAGACCGUAAGGACUGGUGGAGUGCUUAGAAGUGAGAAUGCCGGUAUGAGUAGCGAAAGACGGGUGAGAAUCCCGUCCACCGAAUGCCUAAGGUUUCCUGAGGAAGGCUCGUCCGCUCAGGGUUAGUCAGGACCUAAGCCGAGGCCGACAGGCGUAGGCGAUGGACAACAGGUUGAUAUUCCUGUACCACCUCUUUAUCGUUUGAGCAAUGGAGGGACGCAGAAGGAUAGAAGAAGCGUGCGAUUGGUUGUGCACGUCCAAGCAGUUAGGCUGAUAAGUAGGCAAAUCCGCUUAUCGUGNNNNNNNNNNNNNNNNNNNNNNNNNNNNNNNNNNNNNNNNNNNNNNNNNNNNNNNNNNNNNNNNNNNNNNNNNNNNNNNNNNNNNNNNNNNNNNAAGGCUGAGCUGUGAUGGGGAAGCUCCUUAUGGAGCGAAGUCUUUGAUUCCCCGCUGCCAAGAAAAGCUUCUAGCGAGAUAAAAGGUGCCUGUACCGCAAACCGACACAGGUAGGCGAGGAGAGAAUCCUAAGGUGUGCGAGAGAACUCUGGUUAAGGAACUCGGCAAAAUGACCCCGUAACUUCGGGAGAAGGGGUGCUUUCUUAACGGAAAGCCGCAGUGAAUAGGCCCAAGCGACUGUUUAGCAAAAACACAGCUCUCUGCGAAGCCGUAAGGCGAAGUAUAGGGGGUGACACCUGCCCGGUGCUGGAAGGUUAAGGAGAGGGGUUAGCGUAAGCGAAGCUCUGAACUGAAGCCCCAGUAAACGGCGGCCGUAACUAUAACGGUCCUAAGGUAGCGAAAUUCCUUGUCGGGUAAGUUCCGACCCGCACGAAAGGUGUAACGAUUUGGGCACUGUCUCAACCAGAGACUCGGUGAAAUUAUAGUACCUGUGAAGAUGCAGGUUACCCGCGACAGGACGGAAAGACCCCGUGGAGCUUUACUGUAGCCUGAUAUUGAAUUUUGGUACAGUUUGUACAGGAUAGGCGGGAGCCAUUGAAACCGGAGCGCUAGCUUCGGUGGAGGCGCUGGUGGGAUACCGCCCUGACUGUAUUGAAAUUCUAACCUACGGGUCUUAUCGACCCGGGAGACAGUGUCAGGUGGGCAGUUUGACUGGGGCGGUCGCCUCCUAAAGUGUAACGGAGGCGCCCAAAGGUUCCCUCAGAAUGGUUGGAAAUCAUUCGUAGAGUGCAAAGGCAUAAGGGAGCUUGACUGCGAGACCUACAAGUCGAGCAGGGACGAAAGUCGGGCUUAGUGAUCCGGUGGUUCCGCAUGGAAGGGCCAUCGCUCAACGGAUAAAAGCUACCCCGGGGAUAACAGGCUUAUCUCCCCCAAGAGUCCACAUCGACGGGGAGGUUUGGCACCUCGAUGUCGGCUCAUCGCAUCCUGGGGCUGUAGUCGGUCCCAAGGGUUGGGCUGUUCGCCCAUUAAAGCGGUACGCGAGCUGGGUUCAGAACGUCGUGAGACAGUUCGGUCCCUAUCCGUCGUGGGCGUAGGAAAUUUGAGAGGAGCUGUCCUUAGUACGAGAGGACCGGGAUGGACGCACCGCUGGUGUACCAGUUGUUCUGCCAAGGGCAUAGCUGGGUAGCUAUGUGCGGAAGGGAUAAGUGCUGAAAGCAUCUAAGCAUGAAGCCCCCCUCAAGAUGAGAUUUCCCAUAGCGUAAGCUAGUAAGAUCCCUGAAAGAUGAUCAGGUUGAUAGGUUCGAGGUGGAAGCAUGGUGACAUGUGGAGCUGACGAAUACUAAUAGAUCGAGGACUUAACCAUAUAA
RNAcentral lists this ribosomal RNA (3023 nucleotides) under Bacillus sp. EKM501B. Its description in RNAcentral is "23S ribosomal RNA". It matches the Rfam family "Bacterial large subunit ribosomal RNA". The record is from RNAcentral. Lineage: Bacteria; Bacillati; Bacillota; Bacilli; Caryophanales; Bacillaceae.